Molecule: long non-coding RNA, 8363 nt
Filed under: Capsicum annuum
Lineage: Eukaryota; Viridiplantae; Streptophyta; Magnoliopsida; Solanales; Solanaceae
Description: long non-coding RNA (CANN_LNC003850)
Source: RNAcentral
UGUUUUCCAAUUAAAGCUUCUUCUUUCUCUGUUAAUUGUGUUUCAGAUUCAUCAAUUCUUUCAAUGACAGCUUCUUCCCUGUUUUGUUCUUUGAGUUCUUCUCCAAGUGGGUGUUCUUUAGGUUUCUCGUCAAUCAUUGGUUCUUCAAGUUUCUCUUUAACAACUAGUUCUUCAGAUUUCUCUUCAACUGGUAGAUUCUCGGGUUCUUCUUCAACUGCUGGUUCUUCAAAUUUUUCAGCUGCCGAUUCGUCAGGCUUUUCUUCAACUGAUGGUUCUUCAUGUUUUUCAUCGAAUGUUGGUUCUUCAACUGUAGAUUCUUCAGAUUUCUCCUCAACUGUUGGUUCCUCAGGUUUUUGGUCAACUACUGGUUCUUGAGGUUUAUCUUCAAUUGCUGGUUCUUCAGGUUUCUUUUCUAGUUCUUCACGUGUCUCUUUAACCACUGGAUCUUCAGGUGUUUCUUUCACCUCUUGUUUUUUGUGUUUCUCCUCAAUUGCUGGUUCUUGGGGUUUCUCUUCAAAUGUUUCUGCAAUUGCCAAUUUCUGAGGUUUCUCCUUUAUUGCUGGUUCUUCAGGUUUAUCCUCAACAAUUGGUUCUUCAAGCUUUUCCUCAACCAUUGGUUCUUCAAUUUUUUCCUCAACCAUUGGUUCUUCAGGUUUUUCCUCAACUCCUGGUUCUUCAGGUUUUUUCUCAACUGCUGGAUAGUCAACAACAUCAUUGUUGGUAUUGCAUGGAGUCUGAGUGUCAGACUUCCCGUUUGAAUCUAUAACUGACAUAUUCUGUAAGAAAAAUUUGAAGUUUCACUUAGUCUUCCAAUAGAUAAACAGAUGUGAAUUGUUGCACAUUCAGAGCUAAUAGUACAGGUAAAACUUGUGAGUACUUGAUCCUCACCUCUUCCAACAAAGUUACCUUUUCAGGCUUCGCUUCAACUUCAACUGCUAGUUUUUCAAGGUUCUUUUCAAUUGCUAGAUCUUUAGUUGUUUCUUCAACUGCUGGUUCUUCAGGUUUCUCUUCAAAUGUUAGUUCUUCAAGUGUUUCUUUCCAUGCUGGUCCUGCAAGUGUUUUUUCAACUACAAGCUCUUCAGAUUUCUCUUCAACUGUUGGUUCUUCAAGUUUCUCCUUGAAAACUGGUUCUUCAGUUUGUUUUUCCACUUCUGGUUCUUCAAGUUUCUCUUCAAUCACUUGUUUUUCAUGUUUUUCUUCAACUUCCAGUUCUUCAGCUGUUGGACAGUCAGCAACACCAUUGUUGGAAUUGCCUGGAAUUUCACUGUCAAUCUUGUCCUUUGAGUCUAUAAUUGACAUAUUCUGCAAGAAAAGUUUAAAAUUAGAUUUAAUAUUCAAUAGAUUGACAUAUGUGAGUGUGUUACACAUAUAAAGCUAUUAGAAUGGAUAAACUGUGACACUGUUUAAUCCUCACCUUCUCUAGGAGAGCUUCCGUUUCUAGUUUCUGCUCUUCAAUUACUGGGUUGUCGUGUUUCUCUUUAACAACUAGCUCUUCAAAGGUCUUUUCAACCAUUGGUUCUUCAGGUUUCUCUUCAAGUGCUAGCUCUCCAAGUGUUUCCUCCCCUGCUAGCUCUUCAUGUGUUUCUUUAGCUGUUGGUUCUUCAAGUUUUUCUUCAACAGUUGGUUCUUGAGGUUUCUCCUCAGCUGGUUUUUCAUAUUUCUCCUUAAUUGCUAGUGUAUCAAGUUUCUCUUCAAUAACUGGUCCUUCAGGUUUUUCUACAACUGCUGGUUCUUCAGGGUCUUUCUCAACUUCUUGAAAGUGAGCAUCAUCAUCGUUAGUAUUGCAUGGAAUUUCACAGUCAGUUUUGUCCUUUGAGUCCGCAACUAGCAAAUUCUGCAAGAAGAAUUAAAAGUUUCACUUAGUCUUUUAGUAGAUAAAGCAGAUGUGAAUCAUUGCACAUACAUAAAUAAUAGGAUGGAUAAACUUAUGACAGUGCUUGACCCUCGCCUUAUCCAAAAGAGUUACCUUUUCAAGUUUCUCCUCUUCAACUGUUGGGUUUUCAGGUUUCUCCUCUUCAACUACUGGUUUGUCAGUUUUUUCUUCAAAUGCUAGUUCAUUAGGUGUUUCUUCCCGUUUUGAUUCCUUGAGUGUUUCUUCAGUUUUUGGUUUUUCAGGUUUCUCUUCAACCAUUGGUUCUUCAAGUUUCUCCUCCACAGUUGUUUUUUCAUGUUUCUCUUCAACUGCCAGAUCUUCAAGUUCUCUCUCAACUGUUGGUUCUUCAGGCUUCUCCAUAACCGCCAAUACUUCAGGCUUCUCUUCAAUUGUUGUUUCUUCAUGUUCUUUUUCAACUACUGGUUCUUGAGAUUUUUCCUUGACUGAUUCAUAGUCAGCAAUAUCAUUGGUGGUAUUGCAUGACAUUACAUAAUCUAUCUUGUCCUUUGAGUCUACAAUUGGAAAAUGCUGCAAGAAAAUUUAAAAGUUUUACUUAGUCUUUCAACAGAUAAACAUAUGUAAAUCCGUUGCACAUAUAAAGCUAAUAUGAUGGAUAAAUUUUGUGACAAUGUUUAAUUCUGACCUUCUCUAGAAGAGCUCCGGUUUCAGGUUUCUCCACUUCAACAACUAGUUCUUUAGGUGUCUUUUCAACCGUUGCUUCUUCAGGUUUCUCUUCAAGUGCUAGUUCUUCAGCUGUUUCCUCCCCCUCUAACUCUUCAGGUGUUUUUUUAGCUGUUCGUUCUUCAGAUUUCUCUUCAGCCGCAGGUUCUUGAGGUUUCUCUUCAAAUGGUAAUUCAAAUUUCUCCUCAACCGAUGGUUCUUCAAAUUUCUCUUGAAUAACUGGUUCUUCAGGUUUUUCUUCAACUGCUGAUUCUUCAAGAUUUUCUUCAACAUUUAAAGAUUGAGCAACAUCAUUACUGGUAUUGCAUGGAAUUUCACUGCCAUUUUUGCUGUUCAAGUCUACAACUAGCAUAUUCUGCAAAAGAGUUUAAUGUUUCACUUAGUCUUUCAAUAAAGAAGCAGACGUGAAUCAUUUCACAUACAUAACUAAUAAUAUGGAUAGCUAAUAAUAUGGAUUAACUUUUAUGACAGAUUUUCCACAAGAGCUACCUUUUCAGGUUUCUCCUCUUCAAGUGAUGGUUUCUCUUCAAAUGAUAGUUCAUUAGGCGUUUCUUCCUGUGUUGGUUUUUCAUGUGCUUCUUCAGUUACUGGUUUUUCAGGUUUCUCCUUAGUUGUUGGUUCUUCGCUUGUCUCCUCAGCUGAUUGUUCUUCAAGCUUCUCUCCUGUUGUUGAUUUUUCUGGUUUCUCUUCAAUUAUCGGUGGUUCAGGUUUUUUCUCAACCGGUGAUUCUUCUGGUUUCUCCAAAACCAUUGAUUCUUCAUGUUUUUUUUCAACUACUGACUCUUCAGUGUUUUCCUCAACUGAUGCAUAGUCAGCAAUAUCGUUGUUGGUAUUGCUUGGAAUUGCAUUGUCUAUCUUGUCCUUUGAGUUUACUUUUGGCAUAUUCUGCAAUGAAGUUUCACGUAGUCUUUCAAUAGAUAAACAAAUGUAAAUUUGUUGCACAUAUAAAAGCUAAUAUGAUGGAUAAAAUUUGUGCCAGUGUUUAAUCCUCACCUUCUCCUGAAGAGCUUCCGCUUCAAGUUCCUCCUCUUCAAUUGCAGGUUUUUCAUCUUUCUCUCCAACAACUAGUUCUUCAGGUUUCUCUUCAAGUGCCAGUUCUUCAGGUGUUUCCUCCUUUGCCAGCUCUUCAGGUGUUUCCUCCUUUGCCAGCUCUUCAGGUGUUUCUUUAGCUGCCGGUUCUUCAGGUUUCUCUUCAACCUCCGGUUCUUGUGGUAUUUCCUCUACUUGUACUUCAGAUUUCUCCUCAAUUGUUGGUUCUUCAGGUUUCUCUCUAACCGCUGCUGCAUUAGGUUUCUCUUCAUUGGCUGGUUCUUCAGGUUUUUCUUCAACUACCGAUUCUUCAGGAUUUUCCUCAAUGUUUGGAAAGGGAGCGACAUCAUUAUUGGUAUUGCAUGGAAUUUCACUGCCAGUUUUGUCAUUCAAGUCCACAACUAGUAUAUUCUGCAAAAGAGUUUAAUGUUUCACUUAGUCUUUCAAUAAAGAAGCAGAUGCGAAUCAUUACAUAUACAUAACUAAUAACAUGGAUAAACUUUAUGACAGUAGUUGACCCUUACCUUUUCCACAAGAGUUACUUUUGCAGGUUUCUCCUCUUCAAGUGCUGGUUUCUCUUCAAAUGAUAGUUCAUUAGGUGUUUCUUCCCGUGUUGGUUCUUCAUGUGCUUCUUCAGUUACUGGUUUUUCAGGUUUCUCCUCAAUUGUUGGUUCUUCGCUUGUCUUCUCAACUGAUGGUUCCUCAUGCUUCUCUCCCGUUGUUGAUUUUUCGGGUUUCUCUUCAGUUGUCGAUGGUUCAGUUUUUUUCUCAACCGCUGGUUCUUUUGGCUUCUCCAAAACCAUUUCCGAUUUCUCUUCAGUUGGUGGUUCUUCAUGGUUUUUUUCAACUACUGGUUCUUCUCUUUUUUCCUCAACUGAUGCAUAGUCAGCAAUAUCGUUGUUGGUAUUGCUUGGAAUUGCAUUGUCUGUCUUGUCCUUUGAGCUUACAAUUGGCAUAUUCUGCUAGAAAAAUAUAAAGUUUCAUGUAGUCUUUCAACAGAGAAACCAAUGUAAAUUUGUUGCACAUAUAAAGCUAACAAAUAUGAUGGAUAGACUUUGCGAGAGUGUUUAAUACUCACCUUCUCCGGAAGAGCUUCCGUUUCAGGUUCCUCUUCAAUUUCUGCUUUUUCAUCUUUCUCUUCAACAACUAGUUCUUCAGGUGUCUCUUCAACCGUUGAUUCUUCAGGUUUCUCUUCAAGUGUUAGUUCUUGAGGUGUUUCCUCCUUUGCUAGCUCUUCAGGUGUUUCUGUAACUGCCGGUUCUUCAGGUUCCUCUUCAGCCACCGGCUGUUGACGUAUCUCCUCUACUUGUACUUCAGAUUUCUCCUCAAUUGUUGGUUCUUCAGGUUUCUCCUUAACCGCUGGUACAUCAGGUUUAUCCUCAUUGACUGGUUCUUCAACUGCUGAUUCUUCUAGAUUUUCCUCAAUGUCUGGAAAGCGAGCAACAUCAUUAUUGGUAUUGCAUGGAAUUUCAUUUCCAGUUUCGUUAUUCGAGUCUACAAUUAGCAUAUUCUGCAAAAAGAAUUUAAUGUUUCAUUUAGCCUUUCAAUAAAGAAGCAUAUGCGAAUAACAGUACAUGCAUAACUAACAAAAUGGAUAAACUUUGUGAUAGUGCUUGAUCCUUACCUUUGCCAAAAGAGUUACCUUUUCAGGUUUCUCCUCUUCAACGGUUGGUUCUUCAUGUUUCUUUUCAAAUGCUAGUUCCUUGGUUGUUUCUUCCGGUGUUGGUUCCAUAGGUGUUUCUUCAGUUACUUGUUUUUCGGGUUUCUCUUCAAUUAUUGGUUCUUCGAUUGUCUUCUCAACUGAUGGUUCUUCAAGAUUUUCUCCCACUGUUGGUUUUUGGGGUUUCUCUUCUAUUGUUGGUUGUUCAGGAAUUUUCUCAACUGGUGGUUCUGCUGGAUAUUCCAAAACCAUUGAUUCUUCAGAUUUCUCUUCAAUUGAUGGUUCUUCAUGGGUUUUUUCAACUACUGGUUCUUCAAUUUUUUCCUCAACAGAUGCAUAGUCAACAAUAUCAUUAUUGGUAUUGCUUGGAAUUGCAUCGUCUGUCAUGUCCUUUGAGUUUACUUUUGGCAUAUUCUGCAAUAGAGUUUCAUGUAAUCUUUCAACAGAUAAACAGAUGUAAAUUUGUUGCACAUAUAAAGCUAAUAUGGUGGAUAAACUUUGUGACAGUGUUUAAUCCUCACCUUCUCCUGAAGAUCUUCCGCUUCAAGUUCCUCCUCUACAAUUGCAGUUUUUUCCUCUUCCCCUUCAACAACUAGUUCUUCAGGUGCCUCUUCAGCCGUUGAUUCUUCAGGUUUCUCUUCAAGUGCUAGUUCUUCAGGUGUUUCCUCCUUUGCCAGCUCUUCAGGUGUUUCUUUAGAUGCCGAUUCUUCAGGUUUCUCUUCAGCCAUCGGUUCUUGAGGUAUUUCCUCUACUUGUACUUCAUAUUUCUCCUCAAUUGUUUGUUCUUCAGGUUUCUCUUCAGGUUUCUCCUUAACCACUGGUACAUCAGGUUUCUCUUGAUUAACUGGUUCUUUGGGUUUUUCUUCAACAGCCGAAUCUUCAGGAUUUUCCUCAAUGUCUUGAAAGCAAGCAAUAUCUUUAGUGGUAUUGCAUGGAAUUUCACUGCCAGUUUUGUUGUUCGAGUCUACAAUUAGCAUAUUCUGCAAAAGGAAUUUGAUGUUUCAUUUAGCCUUUUAAUAAAGAAGCAGAUGUGAAUAACAUUACAUGCAUAACUUACAAAAUGGAUAAAUUUUGUGACAGUCCUUGACCCUUACCUUUUCAGGUUUCUCCUCUUCAACAGCUGAUUCUUCAUGUUUCUCUUCAAAUGCUAGUUCUCUGGGUGUUUCUUCCCGUAGUGCUUCUUCAUGUGCUUCUUCAGUUACUGGUUUUUCAGGUUUCUCCUCAAUUGUUGGUUCUUUGAUUGUCUCCUCAACAGAUGGUUCUUCAAGCUUCUCUCCCGUUGUUGAUUUUUCUGGUUUCUCUUCAAUUGCUGGUUGUUCAGGAAUUUUCUCAACAGCUGGUUCUUCUGGCUUCUCUAAAACCAUUGAUUCUUCAGCUUUCUCUUCAAUUGAUGGUUCUUCAUGGUUUUUUUCAACUAUUGGUUCUUCAGUUUUUUCCUCAACGGAUGCAUAGUCAACAAUAUCAUUGUUGGUAUUGCUUGGAAUUGCAUCGUCUGUCAUGUCCUUUGAGUUUACUUUUGGCAUAUUCUACAAUAAAGUUUCAUGUAGUCUUUCAAUAGAUAAACAGAUGUAAAUUUGUUGCAACAUAUAAAGCUAAUAUGGUGGAUAAACUUUGUGACAGUGUUUAAUCCUCACCUUCUCCCGAAGAUCUUCCGCUUUAAGUUCCUCCUCUUCAAUUGCUGUUUUUUCAUCUUUCGUUUCAACAACUAGUUCUUCAGGUGCCUCUUCAGCCGUUGAUUCUUCAGGUUUUUCUUCAAGUGCCAGCUCUUCAGGUGUUUCCUCCUUUGCCAUCUCUUCAGGUGUUUCCUCCUUUGCCAGCUCUUCAGGUGUUUCUUUAGCUGCUGGUUCUUCAGGUUUCUCUUCAGCCGCCAGUUCUUGAGGUAUCUCCUUUUCUACUUCAGAUUUCUCCUCAACUGUUGGUUCUUCAGGUUUCUCUUCAUUAACUGGUUCUUUGGGUUUUUCUUCAACAGCCGAAUCUUCAGGAUUUUCCUCAAUGUCUGGAAAGUGAGCAACAUCUUUAUUGGUAUUGCAUGCAAUUUCACUGUCAGUUUUGUCGUUCAAGUCUACAAUUAGCAUAUUCUGCAAAAAGAAUUUGAUGUUUCAUUUAGCCUAUUAAUAAAGAAGCAGAUGUGAAUAACAUUACAUGCAUAACUUACAAAAUGGAUAAACUUUGUGAUGGUCCUUGACCCUUACCUUUCCAGGCUUCUCCUCUUCAACGGCCAGUUCUUGUUUCUCUUCAAAUGCUAGUUCCCUGGGUGUUUCUUCCUGUAUUGGUUCUUCAUGUGCUUCUUCAGGUACUGGUUUUUCAGGUUUCUCCUCAAUUGUUGGUUCUUCGAUUGUCUCCUCAACAGAUGGUUCUUCAAGGUUCUCUCCCGUUGUUGAGUCUUCUGGUUUCUCUUCAAUUGCUGGUUGUUCAGAAAUUUUCUCAACAGCUGGUUCUUCUGGCUUCUCCAAAACCAUUGAUUCUUCAGCUUUCUCUUCAAUUAAAGGUUCUUCAUGGUUUUUUUCAACUACUGUUUCUUCAGUUUUUUCCUCAACGGAUGCAUAGUCAACAACAUCAUUGUUGGUAUUGCUUGGAAUUGCAUCGUCUGUCAUGUCCUUUGAGCUUACUUUUGGCAUAUUCUGCAAUAAAGUUUCAUGUAGUCUUUCAAUAGAUAAACAGAUGUAAAUUUGUUGCACAUAUAAAGCCAAUAUGGUGGAUACACUUUGUGACAGUGUUUAAUCCUCACCUUCUCCUGAAGAUCUUCCGCUUCAAGUUCUUCCUCUUCAAUUGCUGUUUUUUCAUCUCUCUCUUCAACAACUUGUUCUUCAGGUGCCUCUUCAGCCGUUGAUUCUUCAGGUUUCUCUUCAAGCACUAGUUCUUCAGGUGUUUCCUCCUUUGCCAGCUCUUCAGGUGUUUCUUUAGCUGCCAGUUCUUCAGGUUUCUCUUCAGCUGCCGAUUCUUGAGGUAUUUCCUUUACCUGUACUUUAGAUUUCUCCUCAAAUGUUGGUUCUUCAGGUUUCUCCUUAACCGCAGGUACAUCAGGUUUCUCUUCAGCUGCUGGUUUUUGAGGUUUCUCCUCUACUUGUACCUCGGAUUUCUCCUCAACCAUCGGUUCUUCAGGUUUCUCCUCAACCUCUG